GCGCCCAUAGCUCAGCUGGAUAGAGUGUUUGGCUACGAACCAAAAGGUCACAGGUUCGAGUCCUGUUGGGCGCGCCA
This 77-nucleotide transfer RNA is filed under the name Terriglobales bacterium. RNAcentral's name for it is "tRNA-Arg". It matches the Rfam family "tRNA". From Rfam's summary of the family: Transfer RNA (tRNA) molecules are approximately 80 nucleotides in length. Their secondary structure includes four short double-helical elements and three loops (D, anti-codon, and T loops). Further hydrogen bonds mediate the characteristic L-shaped molecular structure. tRNAs have two regions of fundamental functional importance: the anti-codon, which is responsible for specific mRNA codon recognition, and the 3' end, to which the tRNAs corresponding amino acid is attached (by aminoacyl-tRNA synthetases). tRNAs cope with the degeneracy of the genetic code in two manners: having more than one tRNA (with a specific anti-codon) for a particular amino acid; and 'wobble' base-pairing, i.e. permitting non-standard base-pairing at the 3rd anti-codon position. RNAcentral also lists the same sequence under 1 other name. The record is from RNAcentral. Lineage: Bacteria; Pseudomonadati; Acidobacteriota; Terriglobia; Terriglobales.